AUCUCACCUGAACAACUUCGUCUCUCUGUCUCUUUUCUUUCUUCAGUUUUACUCGUUAGCGCAAAACCUUCUCAACUAACUGCGUCACGAGUCACGAGUCACGACUGCCUUCUUCACCCCUUGCGAGUUGAGGGGACGCAUUUCACGAAGUUUGAUAAUCUCUUCUCGUUUCUUACAUGGAAGCUCCAUUAGUCGGUCUCUAAGCCACGGUUGUUGCUAGAUCCGAAUUCGGUUUGUUCCAAUGUCUUCCUGGCUCAAAGCUGCUGAAGAUCUGUUUGAAGUUGUCGAUCGGAGGGCAAAGCUGGUUGUCAGUGAGUUAGACGAUCAGUUGGCUACCCAGUCACCAGCUUCCAAUGGGCAAGGAUCUCAAGCCAAGAGGAAAAAGUCAAAGACCAAGGCUCAAAAGAGACAGUCCAUGAAUGAAUCUCCUAAUACAAGUGAUUCUGCACGCGAACAGAUAAGUAUAUUGACAUUGACAUCACAAGUAGAUGCGACACCUGAAAUAGACAGUGAUGCUCAUUUAAAUGACAAUGAUGGGACACCAUCAGUAAAUCCUUCAAGUCAACCUAUCAAUGAGAAGCAACAGAAUCUUGAGAAAGAUUCCACAGUAAGCAUUCCUUUAACAGAGACAACAGCAAUUGCAGUUGGUCAAAUUAAUGCUCAUGAAGUAGAAGCGUCAACCACUAGUACUGAUAAGGAAGCUGUUACUUCAACUUCAAAUGGUGAGCUUGUCAAUGAGAUUCCCUCAGAUGGUCAUGAAGAACAUCCUUUUCCAUUAUCUGCCAAAGAAGUUGAGGUUGUGGAUGAAAACCAUCAAGUUGAAUCAGUUGAUGCUGGCCAAGAUAACAAAUCUAGAGACGCAGAUGUACAUCCAGAAACUGACCAAAAUAGAACAGAGUCUACAACUACCACUGCCAUCAGUAACAGAGAAACUCAAUCUAAAGUUGCUGAUGGUAAUGAGGAACCAGUAAUUGAGCAAAGUAAGCAAGUUGAGCAUAAAGCUGGUAGCACUCCUGUGAAAGUACAGGAACAGGAUCAAAGUAAGCAAGUUGAGCAUAAAGCUGGUAGUACUCCCGCGAAAGUACAGGAACAGGAUCAAAGUAAGCAAGUUGAGCAUAAAGCUGGUAGCACUCCUGUGAAAGUACAGGAACAGGAUCAAAUCGAGGAGGCCCAAGGAUUGCUUAAAACUGCUGUUUCCACUGGUCAGUCUAAAGAGGCAAGGUUAGCAAGGGUUUGUGCUGGACUUUCGUCCCGACUUCAAGAAUACAAAUCUGAAAAUGCACAGCUAGAGGAACUUCUUGUGUCAGAGAGAGAGCUGAAUAAGUCAUAUGAAGCUCGCAUAAAACAGCUCCAGAAAGAUUUGUCAGCAUCUAAAAGUGAUGUGACAAGAAUAGAGUCAAAUAUGGUUGAGGCCUUGGCUGCAAAAAAUUCAGAAAUUGAGGCACUUGUCAGUUCCAUGGAUGCACUGAAAAAACAGGCUGCUUUGUCUGAAGGGAAUCUGGCUUCGCUGCAGGCGAAUAUGGAGUCUAUCAUGAGAAAUAGGGAACUAUCCGAGACAAGGAUGAUGCAGGCUUUACGAGAGGAGUUGUCUACUGUAGAACGGAGAGCAGAAGAAGAGCGUGCCGCACAUAAUGCUACCAAAAUGGCUGCAAUGGAAAGGGAAGUAGAAUUGGAACACAGAGCCCUUGAGGCAUCCACAGCCCUUGCUAGGAUCCAGAGAAUAGCAGAUGAGAGGACAGCAAAGGCAUCGGAGCUUGAGCAGAAGAUGGCAUUGCUUGAGGUUGAAUGUGCCAAUUUAAACCAAGAGCUGCAAGAUAUGGAAGCUCGUGCUCGGCGCGGGCAAAAGAAGUCACCAGAAGAGGCAAAUCAAGUGAUUCAGAUGCAGGCAUGGCAGGAAGAAGUGGAACGUGCACGCCAAGGUCAGAGGGACGCAGAGGGGAAACUUUCUUCUUUGGAGGCCGAAAUGCAAAAAAUGAGAGUUGAAAUGGCUGCCAUGAAGAGGGAUGCAGAGCAUUACUCGCGUCAGGAACACAUGGAGCUAGAGAAGCGCUACCGUGAACUAACUGAUCUAUUGUACUACAAGCAAACACAAUUAGAAACCAUGGCUAGUGAAAAAGCUGCAGCUGAGUUUCACUUGGAGAAGGAAUUGAAGCGUCUCCAGGAAGCACAGGUAGAGGCAGAAAGGAGUAGAGUUCCCCGUCGAGCAUCGGCAUCCUGGGAAGAAGAUGCUGAAAUGAAGGCACUUGAGUAUGUUGACUCUCUAAGCCUCUUCCCUUGCAUCACCGUCAUAUGGUUGGGGCAAGCAUACAGUUGCAGAAGGCAGCAAAACUAUUAGAUUCAGGAGCUGUCAGGGCCACAAGAUUUCUCUGGCGUUAUCCAACAGCUCGACUUAUCUUGCUAUUCUACCUGGUAUUUGUACAUCUCUUCUUGAUGUAUUUGCUGCAUCGCCUUCAGGCACAAGCGGACAAUUUUUCCGCAAGAGAAGUUGCAGAGUCUAUGGGACUUGCUAACACUAACUUACCAUGAUUGGGUAGAAGCAACUCGUGCCACACCCCCAAAAAAACAUCUCAAGUUCAACAAGCAUAGAAUGCGCCAAGAGUGAUGCGUCUAAUAUCUAAUUAUAAGAAGUAAACGGAAGCAAGUGAACCUUGAUUGUCGGGUGAAGAUAUAUAUAGGAUGGUUUUAUCUCCAUUCUUUGUCGAGGAUGCGCAUGCAAAAUGUUGAUGUCCAAAUAAUGUUUGUGAGGAAGGGACUGCUUGCUUGCUUGCUUUGUACAUCCAAACCAAACUUGCUUUCUGCUUUGCAGAUGUGAAAUUUUCUUACAAAUACAUACAUUAUAUAUAUAGCAACUGCUGAUUCUUUCAUUAUAUUCUUAGUUUGUAUUUGUUCAGGAAUUACUUGGUGACUUGAACUUGUGAAUGUGAAAUACACGUGUAUGUAUAUUCAUCAUUAUUAUAUUAUCAGAGGAUCAAAAGCAGAGGUCGAUCGUAAUUGGCAAAAA
Molecule: RNA transcript, 3001 nt
Organism: Prunus avium (sweet cherry)
Lineage: Eukaryota; Viridiplantae; Streptophyta; Magnoliopsida; Rosales; Rosaceae
Gene name: golgin Putative 1
Source: RefSeq, a predicted model, not a curated record